UCUGGGACAAGCCCUGGAAACGGGGUCUAAUACCGGAUAACACUCUGUCCCGCAUGGGACGGGGUUGAAAGCUCCGGCGGUGAAGGAUGAGCCCGCGGCCUAUCAGCUUGUUGGUGGGGUGAUGGCCUACCAAGGCGACGACGGGUAGCCGGCCUGAGAGGGCGACCGGCCACACUGGGACUGAGACACGGCCCAGACUCCUACGGGAGGCAGCAGUGGGGAAUAUUGCACAAUGGGCGAAAGCCUGAUGCAGCGACGCCGCGUGAGGGAUGACGGCCUUCGGGUUGUAAACCUCUUUCAGCAGGGAAGAAGCGAGAGUGACGGUACCUGCAGAAGAAGCGCCGGCUAACUACGUGCCAGCAGCCGCGGUAAUACGUAGGGCGCAAGCGUUGUCCGGAAUUAUUGGGCGUAAAGAGCUCGUAGGCGGCUUGUUGCGUCGGUUGUGAAAGCCCGGGGCUUAACCCCGGGUCUGCAGUCGAUACGGGCAGGCUAGAGUGUGGUAGGGGAGAUCGGAAUUCCUGGUGUAGCGGUGAAAUGCGCAGAUAUCAGGAGGAACACCGGUGGCGAA
Molecule: ribosomal RNA, 568 nt
Filed under: Streptomyces sp.
Lineage: Bacteria; Bacillati; Actinomycetota; Actinomycetes; Kitasatosporales; Streptomycetaceae
Description: bacterial SSU rRNA
Rfam family: Bacterial small subunit ribosomal RNA
Source: RNAcentral